GCGCCCGUGAUGAAAUGGAUAUCAUGGAAGCCUACGGAGCUUCUCGUAGGGGUUCGAGUCCCUUCGGGCGCA
Molecule: transfer RNA, 72 nt
Filed under: Ignavibacteriales bacterium
Lineage: Bacteria; Pseudomonadati; Ignavibacteriota; Ignavibacteria; Ignavibacteriales
Description: tRNA-Arg
Rfam family: tRNA
About the family: Transfer RNA (tRNA) molecules are approximately 80 nucleotides in length. Their secondary structure includes four short double-helical elements and three loops (D, anti-codon, and T loops).
Source: RNAcentral